Molecule: ribosomal RNA, 253 nt
Filed under: uncultured bacterium
Lineage: Bacteria
Description: partial 16S ribosomal RNA
Rfam family: Bacterial small subunit ribosomal RNA
Source: RNAcentral
UACGAAGGGGGCUAGCGUUGCUCGGAAUCACUGGGCGUAAAGCGCACGUAGGCGGGUCGUUAAGUCGGGGGUGAAAUCCUGGAGCUCAACUCCAGAACUGCCUUCGAUACUGGCGAUCUUGAGUCUGGGAGAGGUGAGUGGAACUCCGAGUGUAGAGGUGAAAUUCGUAGAUAUUCGGAAGAACACCAGUGGCGAAGGCGGCAUCCUGGACCGGCAUUGACGCUGAGGAGCGAAAGCCAGGGGAGCAAACGGG